CCCAUGCCUGUGGAUGGAGCCUGGAGUCUGCUCCAUCUGGCUGAGAAAUGGCUCAUGAAUCUUUCAGUAGCAGACAAAACCCAUGGAGAUGCAGAGUCCCAUGGUGUCGUAUGCUCUGCAAUACCAAAACCAAGCUGUGAUUCCAGACGUUGAACUUCUGAGAUUCACACUAGGGAAGAAGAGGGAUGAAUUGCACUACCCUGUCUGGUUUGGGGGUCUCUGAUGAACAGAAGGUAUCAACAAACAAGAGAGAGCACAGUGGAGGGCCAUUAACAUGGAGAUGUGUAUGAUUUCUGAGGACUGCCUAUGUUUAGCCUGGUGAAAAGGAAGCUAAGGGUUGAUUUAGUUGCAAGUUUUAACUCUCUUAAGGAGAGUUGUGGAGAAUAUACAACCAAUAUUUCCUCAGAGGUGUGCAGUGAAAGGACAGGAGGCAAUGGACGGAAGUUGUGACAAGGGGAACUUUGAAUCAGUAGAAAGAGCCUUCACCAUGAGGACUGUGCAGCACUAGGGUGGGUGCUCAGAGAGGCUCAGGUACCUCCAUCCUUGGAAACAUUCAAAAGUACUUGUCAAGGCCCUGAUAAGUUGAGUCUAGCCCUUCUUAGAGCUGGGGUGAGUCCAGAUGAGCUCCAGAGGUCCCUCCCAACCUCAGUAUUUCUAGCAUUCUGUGACAAAUUCCGUCUUUUGCAGGAAUUACUGGAAGUGUCACUAACACUGGAAUUAGUAAAAGAAAUGAAAGUAACGGUGUAUACUGGAAGUGACCCUGGAAGUAUCACUACCAAUGAGGUACCUCAGAAUUUUGGCAGGAGUGCAAAAAAAAGGAUUGCACCCCAGGGAUAAAUGGAAACCACUCAUUACCGAAGGGGAGCCUGAAGAUGCUACACUAGUCCUGAGUUUGGAGGACCACUGAAAGAAAUUUCUUACUUGCUGGGUGCUUAAUGGAAAACAAUUUGCAGCCAGAAAGAGAUAGCUCCUGAAGACUUUUACUUGAUUCCACUCUGGUCAAGAGACUUCCUUCCUGUUUUACCGUGAC
This is a long non-coding RNA of Pezoporus occidentalis (night parrot), 1030 nucleotides long. RefSeq lists it as uncharacterized. NCBI's taxonomy places the organism in Eukaryota, Metazoa, Chordata, Aves, Psittaciformes, Psittacidae. The record is from RefSeq and is a predicted model, not a curated record. The transcript is spliced from 3 exons.